Homarus americanus (American lobster) is the source of this 958-nucleotide long non-coding RNA. RefSeq lists it as uncharacterized. The transcript has 3 exons. The record is from RefSeq and is a predicted model, not a curated record. NCBI's taxonomy places the organism in Eukaryota, Metazoa, Arthropoda, Malacostraca, Decapoda, Nephropidae.
CUGCUACAGUCUGACCGGUCUCCCUUGUUCUUAUAAAUAUUGACGUAAAGAAACUUGCCCAUAAUUUCACCCUGUCCGGAGGAUCGAAGCCGGGACCCCUCGCUUGCGAGGCGAAUAUGCUGACCAUUACACCCUACACCAUUACUCACUGUACACAUCCACAACCAAUCAGUACACACACCCAUCAAGAUUCGCCACACUCACCUGCUAUAAACACCACUAUACACAUUUUUCACCAUUCACUGUACAUACCCACCAGUCAUAACACACACAACCACUCCUCAGUUCUAUAAUGAGAAACGCUUUAUAAUUAUUCGUUCUUCAUUAAUCUUUUAUAGGCACGUUCAACAACCUUCCCUUCCUAUAUAGUUUGAAUCUGAAUGCUAACUCACUAACCGAGUUACUCGCGAACUCUGCAGAUGGAAGUUAUUUCAACAAUUAUGUCACCCUUCAGUAUAACACCUAAGCACCGUGGAGGUUAAUGCCAUUUCAGGUCUCCGGACAUCUGACGAAGUGAACUUAAAUAACAACCAGCUGAUGUUAGUGGAGGAGGAGGUGUGGCGGCUGCUGCUACAGGAAGGUGUGAACCUCGACCUUGUUGAUAAUCCUCUCGAAUGUGGUUUGCGAUAUUGCUUGGAUUAUACUCAACACCGAUUACCUCAACCUCGUAAAUAGAGGACUACCUGCAGUAGCGGAGGCGUCUGGUGGACCCAGAACCUGAAAUCUUCAAAAUAAUUGCAACUAAUUGGGUUGUUGGUGGUGGGUCCUGUUGGUACUUAUAUGAUCAUCGAACAGCUACUCUUUCACUACCAUCAUACCUCUGGACACCUGUAAGUGAAGCAAAGUUCGGUCAGUUGGACUCUUCAGGACUAAAGUUGUCACCCAUCAUUCAGUGUUGAAGCCGUAUAUCAACCGAAAUAUCGAUUCGUAUGAAGACUUAUUUAAACAUAUGCCUUCU